GAUGAACGCUGGCGGCGUGCCUAACACAUGCAAGUCGAACGGGACUUGUUAAGUUGAAACUUCGGUCGAUUCUUUUCAAGUCUAGUGGCGGACGGGUGAGUAACGCGUGGGCAACCUGCCUCACACUGGGGGAUAACAGUCAGAAAUGACUGCUAAUACCGCAUAAGCGCACAGCAUCGCAUGAUGCAGUGUGAAAAACUCCGGUGGUGUGAGAUGGACCCGCGUCUGAUUAGCUGGUUGGCGGGGUAACGGCCCACCAAGGCGACGAUCAGUAGCCGACCUGAGAGGGUGACCGGCCACAUUGGGACUGAGACACGGCCCAA
Molecule: ribosomal RNA, 323 nt
Filed under: uncultured bacterium
Lineage: Bacteria
Description: bacterial SSU rRNA
Rfam family: Bacterial small subunit ribosomal RNA
Source: RNAcentral